Molecule: ribosomal RNA, 429 nt
Filed under: Fusobacteriota bacterium
Lineage: Bacteria; Fusobacteriati; Fusobacteriota
Description: Fusobacteria bacterium partial 16S ribosomal RNA
Rfam family: Bacterial small subunit ribosomal RNA
Source: RNAcentral
UGUGGAAUAUUGCGCAAUGGGCGAAAGCCUGACGCAGCGACGCCGCGUGAGGGAUGAAGGUUUUCGGAUCGUAAACCUCUGUCAGAAGGGAAGAAACCGCACUGUGCUAAUCAGCAGUGCCUUGACGGUACCUUCAAAGGAAGCACCGGCUAACUCCGUGCCAGCAGCCGCGGUAAUACGGAGGGUGCAAGCGUUAAUCGGAAUUACUGGGCGUAAAGCGCACGUAGGCUGCUUUGUAAGUCAGGGGUGAAAUCCCACGGCUCAACCGUGGAACUGCCGUUGAUACUGCUUAGCUUGAAUCCGGGAGAGGGUGGCGGAAUUCCAGGUGUAGGAGUGAAAUCCGUAGAUAUCUGGAGGAACAUCAGUGGCGAAGGCGGCCACCUGGACCGGUAUUGACGCUGAGGUGCGAAAGCGUGGGGAGCAAACAGG